ACACAUCCCCUCUCCUGUUAGAGAGAUGAUGAAGCUGCUUCUGCCUCACAGAAGGAUCAUAAAAACCUGUAUCCCAUAAGCUGAAGUCAGCCCAAUGAACUACACAAACAGCAAUAACCAAAACAAAGCAAGCAGGAAACGCGCAGCAUCUGUUAUGAUCGCACAACCACAAGACAGCUGUUUAAUCCCAACUGUUAGCAUAAGAUCAUUUGAGUGUUUGAAGAGCGAUCCCAUUUGGAUAUCCCCCCACUUAUUUAUUUAUUUCUUAGCUUUUCCAAGAGUGAGGCUUUCUCAGCUGGAGGACACGAUCUGCGCUCCUGGCUCUCUCCCCACUUUCACCCGCAGCUUCCGAAGGAGAGAGGUGUCACGCAAGAGGCUGGUGACAGCAGCAGCUAUUCAGAGCUGAUCAUGUUGUCUCUGAGUAAAAGGAGCAGGCCAUGGAAACAGGAGACAAAAUCACCAACAUCUUCAAUGGGAGAAAAUCCUUUAUCGGCUGAUUCAUUUCCAUGUUUUGUUUCUGCAGGAGACGGGAUAUCCUAGAGGAUUUCAGAAUCUCAACAGAAAUGUCAGCAGCAUCAGCAACAGAGUAAAGGUGCUUGAUAGCAAGACAGCAAAAGAAAUCGUGGAUGUCGGUUCAGCACCGUGAUGCUCGUACCGUCCACUGGAGCAGUUUGAAGAAAGACUUUCAUUAACAUACUUACACAGCAGUUGGCAUGCUUCCGGUGGCACAAUCAGGAUUCAAGGCAGAGCGCUUAAUGCCAAAGGGUAUUUCAUUGACACUCUCAGCACCAGAAUCUUCAAGGACUUCACCCCAGGCACAACGAUACUGAAGCAAAUGAACGUUUAGAGUGUUCUGAUAAAGAACGAUGGGUUUUUGUUGUUGUUGUUGUUUUGUUUUGUGUUUUUGUUUUGUUUUGUUUUUCCUUUUAAAUUAAACUCUCCAACUCAA
This 949-nucleotide long non-coding RNA is filed under the name Mus musculus (house mouse). RNAcentral's name for it is "predicted gene 29328". The record is from RNAcentral. Lineage: Eukaryota; Metazoa; Chordata; Mammalia; Rodentia; Muridae.